This 6219-nucleotide long non-coding RNA is filed under the name Homo sapiens (human). Its description in RNAcentral is "HSALNT0025347". The record is from RNAcentral. Lineage: Eukaryota; Metazoa; Chordata; Mammalia; Primates; Hominidae.
UUUCACCAUCUUGGUCAGGCUGGUCUCGAACUCCUGACCUUGUAAUCCAGCCCCCUCGGCCUCCCAAAGUACUGGGAAUACAGGCAUGAGCCACUGCGCCCAGCCCCUCAUCUGUACAAUUUCUAAGAUAACUCCAAACUUUAAAAUCCUCUUAUUCUUUGAAUAUCCAGAAGUGUUCGACUUUCCACCGCUGAGAAAAGACAGCCUGGAUGUCUGUACUUGGUGGGUGGGUGAGUGUAAUCACUGGGUUGGGUAGGAUGGGAGUUCUUUGAAGCUGUACAUGGGGGUCAGAGGUGGAAGAAAUGAAACGAUCUGUAGAAUUUGAAGCACUCGCUGUGCCCAUAGCCCCCUUGUAAAGAAGAGCCUGCCACAGAUCGCUGCUUCUCAAUAAGGUUUGAUGCUUUUCCUUACAUUAUCCUGCAAACCUAGUCACAGGUGAUUAGACUGGGGCACUGGGGCCUUGGCCUGAUGCACGCCUUGAAGCUUGAACCUGAAGAAGGACAGUGACUUGGAUGAGAACGGGUUCUUUGGGGGCAGUUUUUGUCUCUGGAACAACAUAGAAUCAGGAACUUUUGUGGAAGUAUCUGCCCAGGCAGGUCAUGUCUCAGAUGAUUUCGGUUUGGAGCACGGAGUCUGUAUCUGGCCGUGGCAGUCAGAAGAAGCAGACGCUGGGGCCGUUGUCAGGGAAACAGCAUAAGGCUGAAGAGUCUAGAAGCAGCAGAACCACUAGACAGCCAGAAAGGCUCGCUCUUGAGAGCCACCAAGAGCUAGAACCCAAACAACGUUCCAGUUCUGGAGGACCUGGCCCCGGGAGCAUACUACCCCUUGUUAUAUGUGCUCCUUACACAGGCAACCUGGGAAAGAGUCUAGUUCCUGCCCCUGGAGACCAGCUGCAGCACAGAUGUUGUGUGUAAGCCUUGUCUGGCUCUUUAAAGUUGUGUUAUUUGGGGAUUAUUGGGCAGUUACUGUGUAUCUGCAGGCCACGGGCAGUGAGGCAGUUAGCAUGGAGUUGUCCUGUGUUUGUGUGAGUUUCUCUGGGGGAUCCUGGUAAGAAGGCAGAGGGUUUCCCUGGCAGACCUGUGUCUGUUCUGUGCCUAGGGCUGCCAGAUGAAAUACAGGAUGCUCAGGGAUUGCACCAGACAUUCUUGGACUAAAAAUAAUUUGUUUAUCUUAAAUGCAAACUUAAUUGGGCAUCCUAUAUUUUUUGUCUGCUAAGUCUGGCAAUUCUGUCAGUGCCACAGUGUGUUAUAGAAGCUGAAGACCACAGGAGACAGGGUCAUCAGGGCCAGAGGAGCAGAGGGGAUCCGUCUCCAGAAGCAGCCUUCAGCCCCCAUCGUAGUUCCUAAGCAGCCCAGGGUCUUGAGUCUGCAAACAGAAGACGGUAUCGGCACAGCCAUGACAGCAGUACGUCUGCAAAGGGCAGGAUGUGAUCACAAUGCGUUGGCAUUUGUGGAACAAGACUCUGAGUCUGCAGAAUUUAAACCGUUUUUAAUCUUUCACAAAAGUGGAAAUGUAGUCAUAGCUUAGAAUGUGAUGAAAAAAAACCCCAAAAACUGAGUACUCUACCUGAAGUGAAAAACCUUCUGAACGUGGCUGUGUGUGCUGUUUGUCCUAUAGUGGCAGUCACGGUGGCCCAAAUUCACAGAAUUGUGUGUGUCACUCCUAGUUUGCAGAUAGCACCAGCUAAAAACACAGUUAGGAGAUAUGGCCUAUAAUUGCCAUUUGUUCUGGCUCUUAGAUCAUCUUAUUUUUAUUCCGAUCUUGUUCCAGAGAUGAGAUUGCUGGCUGCACCCAGCCGACACUCAAUGAUUCACUGUGAAAAAAGAUGGCGUUUUCGCUUGCCCUGUUCCUAGGCUUAGCUUCCAUUGCCUCUGCUUGUCAGCAACAGCUGUUGGCCCCUCUGCCCUUGCGGGACCAGCUCCUCUGGAUGAGCGCUUUCGUCUUUGUCCGACCCUCUUUCAGGACAGCAACUCCCACUUGGUGUUAAACAUCAUUGCUCAUAAAUAGAAGUGCAUUUGGAUUAGCUGUGGCCAAGGUCCAUCUGGUCUCUUUCCUUCUGCAUAGAGUGAUGAAUUGGCUAAAGGACAAGAAGGGAAGGGUAGAGCAGCUGGUGAGGCGGUCACCACAGAACCAAGCCUUGUCUGUGUGCGAUGCAGGUUUCCUUGUGCAGAAUGAGCUUGAGUGACCCGGGAGGCACCCUCCCCUACAGCCCCUUGGCCAUUGUGGGAAGGAAAAGCAGAUUCUAAUACAGGACACAGCAAACAUCAUGUUUGUCUUCAUGUCUGCAAAGCAUGCUGGAUUUGUCCAAGGAAAAAGCAAGUAAAAAUAGAGAAAAAGGAAAUGAGCACUCAUUUUAGAAAUAAUGCUUUUUUUUUUUUUUUUUUGAGACGGGGUUGCCCAGGUCUGAGUGCAGUAGCGUGACCACAGCUCACUGCUGUCUCCAUCUCCCACUGCACCCAGUGAGACAAUGGCUUUUUUUUUUUUUUGAGACAGUCUCACUCUGUUGCCCAGGCUGGAGUGCAGUGGUGUGAUCUUGGCUCACUGAAACCUCUGCCUCCUGGGUUCAAGUGAUUCUCCUGCCUCAGCCUCCCGAGUAGCUGGGAUUACAGGCAUGUGCCACCACACCCAGCUAAUAUUUGUAUUUUUAGUAAAGACAGGGUUUCACCAUGUUGGCCAGGCUGCUGUCUCAAACUCCUGACCUCAAGUGAUCUGCCCGCCUGGACUUCCCAAAGUGCUGGGAUUACAGGUGUGAGCCACCGUGCCCAGCCGAGAUAAUGUAUAUUGAUGAGUAUGUACACAUGUGUGUAUUUUUUCUUUUAGCUAGUGACGAGUCUGGCAGGCCAUAAACACUUAAGGGAUCAAUAAUUUAAUAAUAAACACAAAUGGAAUUGUUGCAGGCAUAAAAGAACAAAAAUCUGCAAAUGGAGGCCUGGGAGAGGGCAGGCUCUGGGGGAGAUGGGAGCCAGCUGUCAGUAAAAGCCUUCACCAACAGGCUUUUGCUCUGUGGCUGCAGUUCCCUUUCCCAGCAGCCCCGAGGUGGGUCUCCAGGGAGCCCUCCACAGCAGCCCUUCUGUGACCUCAUGCGCUGAUGGUUGUCUCAGCUACAGGAGUGGAAGGCGCAGCCAAGCAGCCGCUGGUAUUUCUGUGUUGCAUAUGGGCUGGGGUCCCUCCUGUCCUUCUCUCCUACACGAUCCCAGAUCUGAUUUCUAAUGGUGUUGUAUUUCCUCCCUAAAUCAUUUUUCAAUAGUAUUUUUGUUCUUCUGUGGGAUACAGAAGAACUUUUUUUUCCUAUUGCAAUAAGGACAAGUAAACAAGUCAGAAGCCUCAGAAGACCUCAAGAGAGAAAUCACAGCCUUCAAUUCCUGGUCCCUUUCUGAAACCUCAGCUCUUGAUUCACUUAAUUUCAAGGAGAAUUGUUUUAUGACUACGCCAAGCUGACCCAAAGACCCCUGGGAAGCACGUGGCCCAUCAGAGGGAAGGGCUAGGCCCUGGGGCUGGAAAGGAUGCAGAGCCUGUUUUCAACAAUUACGUCUACAUUUUCCAAGAGAUUAAACCGAUUGGAAGCCAAGCAUUGGAGAAGAGAUCUUUUGUCUUCCUUGGCAACAUUUCUGAAAUCUACAGAUAGGGAUGAGGAAGUGAGGCACAUUUUUCAUCUGUUCCAACAAACUGCCAAUGGAAUGGCUGACAUGCCAUUUUAGUGUAUGUCAUCUCUCCCGUGUUCCGUCAUCACUGAGGGUCAGCUGGGCCCUGCCCUUGAAUACAGCACAGGGCUGGUGUCAUGGAGCCGGCCUUCCUUACACUAAUGAACCGCAGGAGCCUCCCCUUGUCCCUUGCCUGGGGGGAACUAAUGGCAUUGCAGGGCAAAGGCUCAGCAGGGACCCUGUAGAUAGAGGAUAGAUCGGCACCCAGGCGUCUUACAGGGUGGACCCCAUGCUGGCAGGGUGGGAAGCCAGAGAAAAGAGGCUUGGAAGAAGCAAAGGGAACUCUCAAGAGGGUGCAGAGAUGAACGUGGCUUGCACCUGGAGAAUUCCCAGCCAAUGUGAGCUUGACGCCCCUCUCCUUUCCACCAAUCAGAUGGCACUACCACCUCCUCCUAAUUCCUCUACCAAUGAAAACUAGGUUCCUUUACCUUAUCCACCAAUCAGGGCUUUGGACAAAGAAUAAUCUUAUCAAACCCCACAUGGAUUCACACGCAUCUGGUAGCUUGGUUGUUGGUAAGUCUCUGCAUGGCAAGCUGGGUCUCCAAGUCUUUAUUGUUAUGCUUCUAUCGUUUGGAGGCAGAAGGGGAGAUGGGAGAGCUAAAAGCCCAGGUCCCUUUCUUCCCUGAAAACCCUGAAAAAAGUUUCUGCCUAUGUGAAAAAGAAGGGGUUUAGUGGACAGUCAUCAUAAGCCAACAGUGAUAUGUGGGCGUCAUGCUAAUGCCGUGGCUUAGGCUGCACUGAUACACAUUUAUCAAACCAAUACAUUGCCAACGGAAUGGCUGACACGCCGCUUUAAUGUAUGUCAUCUCUGUGUUCGGUGAGCGCAGUGAUGUCCUUCAAGGAAGGACUUGUUGCCUUGGCUGCUGCGCUGCCAUGAGCGGGGCUCUGACUAUGGUGAGAUUAGCUGGUGACCUCGCACCCGUCAUACCAGUUGGGCUGUAAUGACUCCUAGAGACAGUCGCUCAAGAUAGCUCUGUGUGUUUGUUUCAUAAAUAAGCUCCAUGGCAAAUUCGCAUUGUUUUUCCCCAAAUAAGCAAUUCCGAAGGCUGGGCCUUCACUGAGAGCUUGCAUCUCUGCAUAAACUGCCUCUGGGCUUUGGGACCUGCUUUAGCUUCCAGGAGCUGCUCUUCAAGACCACAUUCCUCCCCAGAGCAGCCCUGUCAACAUCCAGGGACAGAUGAAAGCCCGAGUAUGAAGACCUGACCAUCUCCCCCGAAAUCAGGAAACUCUGAAGAGCAUUCUAGCUCCAAAGAUUCCUGUGGGUUGGCUGGGGCUGUCCUUGGACCUGUAGUACAGCCCAGGUCCUCCCACUGCCCACACCCGCUCUUGCCUCCUCUCUUACACAGGUGUUGGUCUGAGGGCACUUGUACAGGCUAAACUCCAUCUGAGUCCGCUUCCCAGGAAAACCAGCCUGCAGGGAAACCAUGCCAGUUCUCUGUGCUACUUGCAUCUCCCUUGCAGAGCUGCCUUCAGAAUCUGGACAAAGAUUUUGGUCAAUUUAUAAAGUUUAUUUUAUUUAUUUAUUUAUUUUUUGAAAUGGAAUCUCACUCUGUCGCCCAGGCUGGAGUACAGUGACGCGAUCUUGGCUCUCUGCAGCCUGCGCCUCCAGAGUUCAGGUGAUUCUCGUGCCUCAGCUUCCCCAGUAGCUGGCACUACAGGCACGUGCCACCACACCCAGCUAAUUUUUCUUCUUUUUGUAUUUUUAGUAGGGAUGGGGUUUCACCAUGUUGGCCAGGCUGGUCUCUAACUCCUGACCUCAAGUGACCUGCCCGCUUUGGCCUCCCAAAGUGCUGGGAUUACAGGCGUGAGCCACCACGCCCAGCCUAAUUUAUAAAGUUUCUGUUUGUCACAGCUGGCUGAAAUGUGAUAGACAUCUUCUGAAGGUGAGGUCAUCUUCUAAGGAAGAUGUUCAAAGGAAAACUGACUAUUGGAAAGAUAAGGGAUGGGUGAGGGGUGAAAUCAGGAAUCUUGCGGGCAGAUGGACGAGAUGCCCUCUGUCAGACCUCUGAGGCCAAGCUAAGCCGUCAUAUCCCCUGUGACCCUCACGUAUACAUCCAGAUGGCCUGAAGCAACUGAAGAUCCACAGAAUAAGUGAAAAUAGCCACUUAUUAGUUCCUGCCUCAACUGAUGACAUUCCACCAUUGUGACUUGUUCCUGCCCCACCCUAACUGAUCAAUUGACUUUGUGACAUUCCUUCUCCUGGACAAUGAAUCUCAGGAGCUCCCCACCAGCACCUUGUGACCCCCGCCCCUGCCCGCAAGAGAACACCCCCUUUCACUGUAAUUUUCCACGACCUGCCCGAAUCCUAUAAAACUGCCUCACCCCGAUCUCCCUUUGCUGACUCCUUUUACGGACUCAGUCUGCCUGCAUCCAGGUGAUUAAAAGCUUUAUUGCUCACACGAAGCCUGUUUGGUGGUCUCUUCUCAAGGACGCGCAUGACACCCUCCAGGGUCUAAUCAUACAUCAAGAUCUUAAUAUCCCAAGAUUAACUGUACCCCAGAUAUCUAGUACCCUUCAG